Molecule: transfer RNA, 68 nt
Filed under: Bos taurus (domestic cattle)
Lineage: Eukaryota; Metazoa; Chordata; Mammalia; Artiodactyla; Bovidae
Also listed under: 5 other names
Rfam family: tRNA
About the family: Transfer RNA (tRNA) molecules are approximately 80 nucleotides in length.
Source: Rfam by way of RNAcentral
GGCAUCGUGGCUCAGAGGGUAAAGCUUCUGCCUGCAAUGCAGGAGACCUGGGUUCGAUCCCUGGGUCA